Mesocricetus auratus (golden hamster) is the source of this 551-nucleotide long non-coding RNA. RefSeq lists it as uncharacterized. The record is from RefSeq and is a predicted model, not a curated record. NCBI's taxonomy places the organism in Eukaryota, Metazoa, Chordata, Mammalia, Rodentia, Cricetidae. The transcript has 2 exons.
CUUGUUCCUUUACUCCCUUAGGUCUCCCUGUAAAUUCAAACACGGUUACAGAAUCUGACUUCUUAGGCCAGAGAGAUGGCUCAGCUGCUAAGAGUAUAUGCUGCUUUUACAAAGAACCAGAGUUUGGUUCCCAGUACCCAGCAGCCCAGUGGACAACUAUCUCUGAGAGAGGAGACAGACCCACGAAGAGGAGAGACUAUCGCCACUGGGAAAGGCUGGAAAAACAAGCAUUUUGUGGUUGGAGAAGAAAGAGUUUUUAAGCACUCAUAUCCAAAAGGAGAUGGAACAUAGCAGUGGAAUGGAAUAACAGAAUGUAAAAACCCUCAGAAAUGUAGAGUGAGUGUUGCCGGGAUUUUUGAGCAAAUACUCUGAGGAAAAGAAUGGUUCAUGGGAAGUCAUGAGGAAGGCAGAGUCACGAAUGUGAAGAAACAUGCUAGAAAGCUGAUCCUUUCCUAAUCACAGAGCCGUGAGCAGUUUGUAAGUGUGGAACACAAUAGUUACUGCUGUCAAGAUUCUGCUACGAUAAUGAAAUAAAGAUACAGGCAACUAAA